This 437-nucleotide unclassified non-coding RNA is filed under the name Hevea brasiliensis (rubber tree). The record is from RNAcentral. Lineage: Eukaryota; Viridiplantae; Streptophyta; Magnoliopsida; Malpighiales; Euphorbiaceae.
UUUUUUCUUUGGCCUUCUGAUUCUUUCUCCUCGUCUCUUCUUUCGUUUCUCUCAAUUUCUGAACUCUCUCUGAUCAAUACAGGAAUUCCAAGCUAACUUCGUUUUCUCAGCUUUUUUGCUUUGUCUGCCAGAGUAAAGGGGUUGCUGAUUGCUACAAGAAAAAUGGUUCAGAUCAAGGAAUUCCGAAUUGUCAUGCCCAUGUCACUGGAAGAGUAUCAGAUAGCCCAGAUGUACAUGGUAAUGAAGAUGCAGCAACAGAGUACUAGUAGUACUGAGGGUGUUGAAGUCUUGGAGAAUAGGCCCCUGGAGGAUGAUGUAUUUGGAAAGUGUCAAUACACAUCCAAAGUUUAUCGGUUGCAAAGCAAAGCUCCUACUUGGCUUACGACUUUUGCACCAGCAGAUGCUCUUAUCAUGCAAGAAGAAGCUUGGAAUGCAUA